This 339-nucleotide ribosomal RNA is filed under the name Triticum aestivum (bread wheat). RNAcentral describes it as "partial small subunit ribosomal RNA". Lineage: Eukaryota; Viridiplantae; Streptophyta; Magnoliopsida; Poales; Poaceae. The record is from RNAcentral.
AGAGUUUUCAAAGCACAAAAACAUAUCCCUAUGUCUGUUUUCAAAGCACAAAGAGUUCUUGACGAGAUUCGUUGGCGUUACUACGAGGAAACUGUUAUGAUACUGAACCUCAUGCCCUAUCGAGCAUCUUAUCCCAUCUUAAAGUUGGUUUAUUCGGCAGCCGCAAAUGCUACUCAUUAUAAGGAUUUCGACAAAGCGAAUUUAUUUAUUACUAAAGCCGAAGUCAGUAGGAGUACUAUUAUGAAGAAAUUCAGAUCUUGAGCUCGAGGACGUAGUUUCCCCAUAAAAAAAAUGUGUCAUAUAACAAUUGUACUAAAUAUAGUAAAGAAAUCUAAAUAA